This 648-nucleotide ribosomal RNA is filed under the name Sarcogyne sp. RNAcentral's name for it is "SSU rRNA". It matches the Rfam family "Bacterial small subunit ribosomal RNA", at positions 399 to 1114 of the family's 1533-position model. The record is from RNAcentral. Lineage: Eukaryota; Fungi; Ascomycota; Lecanoromycetes; Acarosporales; Acarosporaceae.
GCUAGUUGUAUUAACUUUUAGUUAAUACAAGAUCGACUAUGUCGACUAAAGUUCUAGGUAGAAUAAUGAUGAUGACAAUUUUCUACCUAUAUGUCUUGACCAAAUCUCGUGCCAGCAGUCGCGGUAAUACGUGGAAGACUAGUGUUAUUCAUCUUAAAUAGGUUUAAAGGGUACCUAGACGGUAUAUCUAGCCCAAAACAGGGUACGGAUUAACUAGAGUUUUAUGUGAGAAGGGGAGUACUCUUAGAGUAAAGAUGAAAUUUUAUGAUACUAUGAGGAAACUGGUGGCGGCGAAAGCAACCUUCUAUGUAUAAACUGACGUUGAGGGACGAAGGCUUGGGUAGCAAAUAGGAUUAGAUACCCUAGUAGUCCAAGCAGACAAUUCUGAAUGCCAUAGAUUAGAUUUUUUUGAUUUAUAAAUGAAAGUGUAAGCAUUCCACCUUAGGAGUAAUGUGGCAACACAGGAACUGAAAUCAUUAGACCGUUUCUGAAACCAGUAGUGAAGUAUGUUAUUUAAUUUGAUAGUCCUCAAAAAACCUUACCACAACUUGAAUGUUAUUUAAUUAAUACAAGCGUUGCACGGCUGUCUUCAGUUAAUGUCGUGAGAUUUUGGUUAACUCCUUAAAUUAACGUAAACCCAUACUUUAU